Molecule: ribosomal RNA, 253 nt
Filed under: uncultured bacterium
Lineage: Bacteria
Description: partial 16S rRNA
Rfam family: Bacterial small subunit ribosomal RNA
Source: RNAcentral
GUGCCAGCAGCCGCGGUAAUACGUAGGUGGCAAGCGUUGUCCGGAUUUACUGGGCGUAAAGGAUGUGUAGGCGGAUAUUUAAGUGAGAUGUGAAAUCCCCGGGCUUAACUUGGGGGCUGCAUUUCAAACUGGAUGUCUAGAGUGCAGGAGAGGAAAGCAGAAUUCCUAGUGUAGCGGUGAAAUGCGUGGAGCGUAGGAAGAAUACCAGUGGCGAAGGCGGUUUGCUGGAAUGUAACUGACGCUGAGGCAUGAA